RNAcentral lists this long non-coding RNA (1104 nucleotides) under Gossypium raimondii (Peruvian cotton). Its description in RNAcentral is "long non-coding RNA (GRAI_LNC003070)". The record is from RNAcentral. Lineage: Eukaryota; Viridiplantae; Streptophyta; Magnoliopsida; Malvales; Malvaceae.
UUUAAGAUAAGGGUAGUAAAAGCACUUAAAUGAAUAACAUACCUUUAAUUUAUUCAACCUCAUGCCUUAAAUCCAUUAAAUAUAUUUCAUUAGACAUGUCUCUAAACUAGAGAUUAAUAAAAAUAAUCAAAAGUGAUUGAUAUAUUCUUUUUGACAAAUUCUUCACACUAAAUAUUGGACAAAAACAUCUAAUCUUGUAAAAGCUCACAAUAUUAGACUGAAAUUGUAAUCUUCAAUUCAUCAUAAAGCACAGUUGUCCUGCAGCAUUCUACUACCAUGAAAUUGAGAACUAAGAUUUAAUGUUUAUGAGAAGUCAGGGUAGUUUUAGACAUGCUAGCCCUCCAACCUUUUUCAUUUUCCCUAGCCACCAGUACUCAAUUCCCUUCAUAUACCUAGGAAGGGACAAAUAUUUUUUAGAGAUAAAUUAUAAGCACAUUAUAAUCCUAGUUGAAUGGAUUGACCAAAAAACUGUAAUACAUGAAAUGUUCAUUUCAAACAUGUAAAAGUACCCUUAUUCAAAGUUCAGGCAGCAGUACAUUUAUGAAGCAUUUUUCCAAAUAAAGACUACUAGGACCAAAGAAAAGGGUCUAUAAGUGAGUAAGAUCAAAUUCUCAAAUAAAAGAUAUAACUUUUAUAAUAAUUUUUUUAAUUUAAUAAAUAUCAUCCAGGUAGUUUCUACUUUCUACUCAAUUAAACUUAACAGUUUAACAAACAAAAAAGAAAUAUUUUAAAAAACCCAAAAAGAAAUCAAUAAAAAGAAACCAGAUUUAACAAACAAACACCUCAAUUAAUAGCAUCACACUUGAAGGAAAAAGGGGUUCCAGCAAUGACGUGAGCAACGACAAUGAAGAAGGUGCAUGAGUGAAGUGAUCGGACGGUGAAGGUGCGCCACUGCGUUGGGUUACUGUGGUCAGUGGUGAUUGGUGGCUGUCGGCACUCGGUAAUAGGGAGAUUUCAGAGGAAGCUAGAUAUUUGAGGAGAUGAGUGAUGACGAUGAAGAUAAAUGGGAAUGAGAUAACUGAUUAGUGAUUAGGGUUCUAGGAUUGGGGAUCUUUUUUGUUUUAGGUUAGAGAUUUUUGGGUUGGAUUAAGGUUAAUGGGGUAG